UACAGAGGUCUCAAGCGUUGUUCGGAUUUAUUGGGCGUAAAGGGUGCGUAGGUGGCGUGGUAAGUCGGGUGUGAAAUUUCGGAGCUUAACUCCGAAACUGCAUUCGAUACUGCUGUGCUUGAGGACUGGAGAGGAGACUGGAAUUUACGGUGUAGCAGUGAAAUGCGUAGAGAUCGUAAGGAAGACCAGUGGCGAAGGCGGGUCUCUGGACAGUUCCUGACACUGAGGCACGAAGGCCAGGGGAGCAAACGGG
RNAcentral lists this ribosomal RNA (253 nucleotides) under uncultured bacterium. RNAcentral describes it as "partial 16S ribosomal RNA". It matches the Rfam family "Bacterial small subunit ribosomal RNA", at positions 524 to 776 of the family's 1533-position model. The record is from RNAcentral.